UACAAACAAACGCCACAAAACCCUAGAACACUUGGAAGAAGUAGAAGAUCAAUCAUUAUAUAAAAAAUAAUCUGGAAGGUCAAACCACCUAGCUAUAUUGACCCAACAGUUGCGUAUGUAUCAAUAUCAUGUAUGUCGUGUUUUAAUCGAUCAAUGUACAUGAAGAGAUUAGGAACCUGAUAACUGUUGUUGAAGUUACCGUACGCGAAGUGAUGAUGCUUGUUUUACCAACUCCUUGAUCGCCAAGGAACACGAGUGUUAGACCAUAAUUAUUGGAGUCUCUUAACAGCGUAUUUUAAUUUAUUUAGGAAUAAAAAAAAAGAAAAUAGCAAUUAACAUAAGAGACGUGAGAGAGAGGCGAUGGAGGCACGAGGUAUACCGUAUACGGUGGAGAAAUCCCAGACGUCGGAGUUGGAUGGAUUGAUUGAUUUGGUGUUGGUAACAAUAGGAGUUGGAUGAGAUGAAGAAUCGAUUGAGGAUGAAGCUGCUGCUCUUCGUGAGAUGCAGGCCAAGGUUGAGAAGGAUAUGGGACCUCAAGUUCCUGUUACGAUAGCAGCAGAUCAAGCAGGCAAGGAGGAGGUGGAUGCUCGAUCUGUUUUUGUUGGCAAUUCACAGGGUCCACUUCAGCACAUUCAGUCUAUGUCUGGUUUGAAGGACAUAACCGAAAGCUCAAACAGCCGUGAGAGUUUCUCCAGUGGAACACAUCCUGGAAGAUGAAGAUCAGUUACUGGCUCCUGUCACCGUUUUGUUAACUUGUUACUCAAGGUUAGUCUUUUGUAUAUAAAGAGGCGAAAUCUAUGUAUUCGUUUUGGUGUUUUUCUGGCUCAUGCCAACUCUUAUGUAUAAUUAAGGGAAAGAUUAGAAGAAUCUGUAAAAUAUAAUUGAUCAUCUUUGUUCACUA
Molecule: long non-coding RNA, 901 nt
Organism: Brassica napus (rape)
Lineage: Eukaryota; Viridiplantae; Streptophyta; Magnoliopsida; Brassicales; Brassicaceae
Exons: 3
Source: RefSeq, a predicted model, not a curated record